AGUGAACGCUGGCGGUAGGCCUAACACAUGCAAGUCGAACGGCAGCACAGUAAGAGCUUGCUCUUACGGGUGGCGAGUGGCGGACGGGUGAGGAAUACAUCGGAAUCUACUUUUUCGUGGGGGAUAACGUAGGGAGACUUACGCUAAUACCGCAUACGACCUACGGGUGAAAGCAGGGGAUCUUCGGACCUUGCGCGAUUGAAUGAGCCGAUGUCGGAUUAGAUAGUUGGCGGGGUAAAGGCCCACCAAGGCGACGAUCCGUAGCUGGUCUGAGAGGAUGAUCAGCCACACUGCAACAGAGCCACGGUCCAGACUCCUACGGGAGGCAGCAGUGGGGAAUAUUGGACAAUGGGCGCAAGCCUGAUCCAGCCAUACCGCGUGGGUGAAGAAGGCCUUCGGGUUGUAAAGCCAUUUUGUUGGGAAAGAAAAGCAGCAGGUUAAUACCCCGCUGUUCUGACGGUACCCAAAGAAUAAGCACCGGCUAACUUCGUG
Molecule: ribosomal RNA, 492 nt
Filed under: uncultured bacterium
Lineage: Bacteria
Description: partial 16S ribosomal RNA
Rfam family: Bacterial small subunit ribosomal RNA
Source: RNAcentral